CAAAUGAGCUCCUAAUGGUGCUAUCAUUUUCCUAGAUGAGGUAAUGUUAGUGCUGUAUGUUCACAUUGUUGCUACACUUCCGUCAGUUUUUAAUCCUUUACAUAUAGGUGGUUUCUGCAUUCUGCUCUCAGUUUACAUGCAAGUUGGUGGAGAUUUCUUCAUAUUCUAACCUGACAUUUUUGUAUAAUCUUACUGCAGGUUGACUCCUUCGCUGCUGCCCGUGAUAGUGAAAUGCAUGAAGCUACACGUAGGAUUUUAUCAGUGUUACUGCGACAGGUAAAAUGUGGAUUUCACUGUUGCUGCAAUAAUUAAAUGCAUGACUUCUUAGCCUUUAUAAACAGUCAAAAAGUCCCUUUGGCAUGUAACUCGGUUGUUGCUCCAGGAUAUCAUGUCUGUCUAACAAAAUCCCUGCACAUAAUAAUCUGCACAAUGUCCUUAAAUCUGGUAUGGUGCUUCAGAAUAUCUGAAUUGACCUCUAGUGGAGUGUCGCUAAUUUUUAGUUGUUGGGGUUGUCUUUUCAACUUCGUUCCGUUUUAGCUGGAUAGUAGAGGCUGAACCCAGGAGAAGGGGGGCGGGGGUUAAUGGGGUCUGCAGGCCCUCUCCCUCCGCCAAAAUCAGUUUAGCCCCCAUCUUAAUAUUCAAAUUUUAUAUGUAGCUUCCUUUUAAUUUGCAAAAUUUACACAUAAGCCCCCUAAUAUAAAAAACUUAAUAUUAUAGCUUUUUAAUAUGCCAAUUUUACAUGUAGGUCCUCUCAAUAUAUAAAUUUAACAUAUGGACCUUCCUCUUUUAUGAAAAUAUCUACCAAAAUUUCAAGGAUAAUAUAGUAAUUAAUGAAACAUUUAGAAAUUUAUACUAAAGUAUUUUGUUAACAAGAACCAAAAAAGUAGCUGACUUUUAAGUCUUGACCUUUGCUCUCUCUCUCCAAGUUUGUGCCUGAUCUAAGUCUUUCGGCCUUUGGCCGACCUCAGGGACAUGCCUUCCCUGGGCGGCCGCAAGUUUUUUGUAGUCGAGAAGAAGUCAUUUGACUUGAUCAGUGAGGGAAGACUUGGAUGGAAUGAGAAUAUGUGAGAACGGUCAGGGUUUCCGCACAUCUAGUUCGUUAGUAAAGGCUGAGGUUGAUUGGUUGCUCAGGGCCUUGGAGGAAUUUUACUGGUUUGACUGCAAGUUGCCAUGGGCAAGACGUUUUACAGGAAAAAACAGAACACUCUGGUUGGGAAAAAUAGAAGAGGACAGUAUUUGGUGAUCUCAGAAGUGUUGGAGAAGAAGGCGAGACGCAUUUUUAUUCCGGAAGGGUAUCAAGGCAGAGGCUGGUUUGUUGUUUAUGGUACCUGCUUUUGACUUGACGGACAGGAAAGUAGUGAACCCUGACCCCGGGAGAGGAUGGGAAAGAAGAUGGAGGAUGUUCAUCGCGUAGCCGGGGGUUGCGUGGGACCGUGGGUAGCAUCUUUCAAUUGCCCACAUUGUGCUGUUGUUAUUCACUUCUCUUUGGGAGCGGGUGGAGUCAAUAGCU
RNAcentral lists this long non-coding RNA (1510 nucleotides) under Carica papaya (papaya). Its description in RNAcentral is "long non-coding RNA (CPAP_LNC013908)". The record is from RNAcentral. Lineage: Eukaryota; Viridiplantae; Streptophyta; Magnoliopsida; Brassicales; Caricaceae.